UAUACAACUAACAAGCAAGACUAACAUUACUAAUCAUAACACAAUCACAAAUAUUUAAAUUAAAAUAAACAUUAUUUCACAAUAAAAUUGGCAAUUCUGUAUAUAAAGAAAAAGACAUCAAAUCUAAUAAGUAAUUAGGACAUCUUGAAGUCCUGAAAACUGAUGGAGAGAAUCAACUAGCUGACUUCUUUACAAAGCCUCUCUUUAAGCUCAGAUUUAUACAAUUUUGCAAACAAGCUGGAUUAAAAGAGGAGACUGGAUUUUAAGAAGAGGUUUUUGUCUAAUGGCAAUAGAGCUCUUCUUUAUCUACGUGUUAUCUAACAGCUUGUUAUUUUUAAGGUUUUGUUAAAACAAAUUAUUUUACUACAAAUAUAUGUAUUAAUAUUCUAUUUUAAAUUCGCGUUACAUUUCCUGUUCCCUUUAAUUUCUUAAAGAUGAACAGUACCAUGGACAUAACAAAGUAUACUGUUUUGACCAUAAUACCCUCAAUGCGUUGCCAUUCCUGCGGACUAAGGUGUAAUACCUUUGUACUCUAUAUAUUCACCAUCCGUUUCCUAUCCUUCAAACCGAAACAGCUAUGCAAACAUAACUGCUUCACGGUAGAAACGAAAACACGAAACUUGGCAAAAUAUGAUAAAAAUCGAUACAAUGGAGGUGAUUUUGAAAUGUCAUUUCUCUAAAUUUAUCUAUAAACCUAAUAUUAUAAUGUGAUAAUUUUGCGUAAUUAUUUUUUUAAUCAUGAUUCAUUAUAAAGUAUAUAAAAAUAUAAUAAUUUUGACUUAAAUAUUUUAGAAUUUAAUUUCAAUCAUUUUGUAAUGGAGAUUUCACUGUGAUAUCACAUUGAAAUUUUAAUUUUAGAAAUAAGUUUACAGAAAUAGCGUCUUCUAGUGAAUAUGUUAAAGUUGUUAUAGGUAGGUAUCGAUUUGGACGAGUAAUUUUGUAAUAUGUAGUAAUUUGAUAUUUGGGUAAAAAUAAAAAAUAUCACCUGGCAACCCUAAACACUACUGUCACUGUCAUUCAUUAUAUAGGUAUUAUUAGUGUCAAUUUAUUCGAUUUGAAAUUGUUCUAUGACGUUGACUGUCCAGUCUUUCGUAACUUCUAUAUUAGUUUUAAAUGUAUGGAUUUGGUCAGAAAAUAUUAUGCCAACCUUAAGUUAAAUAAUGAAAUCACAAUAGUGCCAACUUAACUAACAAAAAUACUGUCAAAUGCGAUACAAAUGGCUGCCAUCCAAACUAUUCGUGUAACAGUUUUAGCUUUGUAUUUCAUAUUUCUUUUUAUUUUGACGUAAAAAUUACGACUCUAUAUAAUUAAUACUGACACAAUUACAAAGACUGCUCUCGAAAUAGUGUUGAAUACAUGUGUUAACUAUCAAUAAUAUUACGAAAUUGAGAGGUAAUAUUGUAUAAAAUAAUAAAUAUAUUUAAGAAUAUUA
Molecule: long non-coding RNA, 1432 nt
Organism: Galleria mellonella (greater wax moth)
Lineage: Eukaryota; Metazoa; Arthropoda; Insecta; Lepidoptera; Pyralidae
Exons: 2
Source: RefSeq, a predicted model, not a curated record